UAAUAUGUAGUGAAAUCACAAUAAGUUGCAAACUUAUAAAUGCUUAUAGCCGUAUUAA
RNAcentral lists this transfer RNA (58 nucleotides) under Metacrangonyx sp. 3 ssp. 1 MDMBR-2012. Its description in RNAcentral is "transfer RNA Cysteine". The record is from RNAcentral. Lineage: Eukaryota; Metazoa; Arthropoda; Malacostraca; Amphipoda; Metacrangonyctidae.